UGCAAGUCGAGCGAAUCGAUGGGAGCUUGCUCCCUGAGAUUAGCGGCGGACGGGUGAGUAACACGUGGGCAACCUGCCUAUAAGACUGGGAUAACUUCGGGAAACCGGAGCUAAUACCGGAUACGUUCUUUUCUCGCAUGAGAGAAGAUGGAAAGACGGUUUCGGCUGUCACUUAUAGAUGGGCCCGCGGCGCAUUAGCUAGUUGGUGAGGUAAUGGCUCACCAAGGCGACGAUGCGUAGCCGACCUGAGAGGGUGAUCGGCCACACUGGGACUGAGACACGGCCCAGACUCCUACGGGAGGCAGCAGUAGGGAAUCUUCCGCAAUGGACGAAAGUCUGACGGAGCAACGCCGCGUGAACGAAGAAGGCCUUCGGGUCGUAAAGUUCUGUUGUUAGGGAAGAACAAGUACCAGAGUAACUGCU
This 423-nucleotide ribosomal RNA is filed under the name Peribacillus simplex. RNAcentral describes it as "bacterial SSU rRNA". It matches the Rfam family "Bacterial small subunit ribosomal RNA", at positions 56 to 468 of the family's 1533-position model. The record is from RNAcentral. Lineage: Bacteria; Bacillati; Bacillota; Bacilli; Caryophanales; Bacillaceae.